CCUACGGGAGGCUGCAGUGGGGAAUAUUGGACAAUGGGGGCAACCCUGAUCCAGCCAUGCCGCGUGUGUGAAGAAGGCCCUCGGGUUGUAAAGCACUUUCAGUGAGGAAGAACGCCUGGUGGUUAAUACCCAUCAGGAAAGACAUCACUCACAGAAGAAGCACCGGCUAACUCCGUGCCAGCAGCCGCGGUAAUACGGAGGGUGCGAGCGUUAAUCGGAAUUACUGGGCGUAAAGCGCGCGUAGGUGGCUUGAUAAGCCGGUUGUGAAAGCCCCGGGCUCAACCUGGGAACGGCAUCCGGAACUGUCAAGCUAGAGUGCAGGAGAGGAAGGUAGAAUUCCCGGUGUAGCGGUGAAAUGCGUAGAGAUCUGGAGGAAUACCAGUGGCGAAGGCGGCCUUCUGGACUGACACUGACACUGAGGUGCGAAAGCGUGGGUAGCAAACAGGAUUAGAUACCCGAGUAGUC
Molecule: ribosomal RNA, 465 nt
Filed under: Vreelandella stevensii
Lineage: Bacteria; Pseudomonadati; Pseudomonadota; Gammaproteobacteria; Oceanospirillales; Halomonadaceae
Description: partial 16S ribosomal RNA
Rfam family: Bacterial small subunit ribosomal RNA
Source: RNAcentral